This 253-nucleotide ribosomal RNA is filed under the name uncultured bacterium. Its description in RNAcentral is "partial 16S ribosomal RNA". It matches the Rfam family "Bacterial small subunit ribosomal RNA", at positions 524 to 776 of the family's 1533-position model. The record is from RNAcentral.
UACAGAGGUCCCAAGCGUUGUUCGGAUUCACUGGGCGUAAAGGGUGCGCAGGUGGGUUUGCAAGUUCGAUGUGAAAGCCCCGGGCUUAACCCGGGAAUGGCAUUGGAUACUGCAGAUCUGGAGGAUCGGAGGGGGGACUGGAAUUCUUGGUGUAGCAGUGAAAUGCGUAGAUAUCAAGAGGAACACCAGUGGCGAAGGCGAGUCCCUGGACGGUACCUGACACUGAGGCACGAAAGCUAGGGGAGCAAACAGG